Molecule: long non-coding RNA, 260 nt
Filed under: Ananas comosus (pineapple)
Lineage: Eukaryota; Viridiplantae; Streptophyta; Magnoliopsida; Poales; Bromeliaceae
Description: long non-coding RNA (ACOM_LNC013804)
Source: RNAcentral
AUACUAGUUUGUUACGACAAACGCACAAACGGAAACGAAAUGACGAACACAAAAACAAUCAAACCACAAGCAGAAAAUAAAGAGACAUAGAUUUACGUGGAAAACCCUUUGCAGGGAAAAAACCAUGGGCGAGGGAGGAGAGACAUUCAUUUUUCCUCCGCUACCCACCACAGACAUUCAUUUUUCCUCCAUAAUUUUCUUUUCCAAAUUGGUCGCACCGUGAAGCUGUCGGCGAGUCGUAAACCCAAACCUGAAACGAU